GACGAACGCUGGCGGCGUGCUUAACACAUGCAAGUCGAACGGAAAGGCCCUGCUUUUGUGGGGUUCUCGAGUGGCGAACGGGUGAGUAACACGUGAGUAACCUGCCCUUGACUUUGGGAUAACUUCAGGAAACUGGGGCUAAUACCGGAUAGGAGCUCCUGCUGCAUGGUGGGGGUUGGAAAGUUUCGGCGGUUGGGGAUGGACUCGCGGCUUAUCAGCUUGUUGGUUGGGUAGUGGCUUACCAAGGCUUUGACGGGUAGCCGGCCUGAGAGGGUGACCGGCCACAUUGGGACUGAGAGACGGCCCAGACUCCUACGGGAGGCAGCAGGGGGGAAUAUUGCACAAUGGGCGGAAGCCUGAUGCAGCAACGCCGCGUGCGGGAUGACGGCUUUCGGGUUGUAAACCGCUUUCGCCUGUGACGAAGCGUGAGUGACGGUAAUGGGUAAAGAAGCACCGGCUAACUACGUG
This 468-nucleotide ribosomal RNA is filed under the name uncultured bacterium. Its description in RNAcentral is "partial 16S ribosomal RNA". It matches the Rfam family "Bacterial small subunit ribosomal RNA", at positions 28 to 507 of the family's 1533-position model. The record is from RNAcentral.